GUGGGGAAUCUUGCGCAAUGGGCGAAAGCCUGACGCAGCCAUGCCGCGUGAAUGAUGAAGGUCUUAGGAUUGUAAAAUUCUUUCACCGGGGACGAUAAUGACGGUACCCGGAGAAGAAGCCCCGGCUAACUUCGUGCCAGCAGCCGCGGUAAUACGAAGGGGGCUAGCGUUGCUCGGAAUUACUGGGCGUAAAGGGCGCGUAGGCGGACAGUUUAGUCAGAGGUGAAAGCCCAGGGCUCAACCUUGGAAUUGCCUUUGAUACUGGCUGGCUUGAGUACGGGAGAGGUGAGUGGAACGCCGAGUGUAGAGGUGAAAUUCGUAGAUAUUCGGAAGAACACCAGUGGCGAAGGCGACUCACUGGCCCGUUACUGACGCUGAGGCGCGAAAGCGUGGGGAGCAAACAGGAUUAGAUACCCGUGUAGUCC
This 425-nucleotide ribosomal RNA is filed under the name uncultured bacterium. RNAcentral's name for it is "partial 16S ribosomal RNA". It matches the Rfam family "Bacterial small subunit ribosomal RNA", at positions 354 to 796 of the family's 1533-position model. The record is from RNAcentral.